GUGCCAGCCGCCGCGGUAAUACGUAGGUGGCAAGCGUUGUCCGGAAUUAUUGGGCGUAAAGGGCUCGCAGGCGGUUCCUUAAGUCUGAUGUGAAAGCCCCCGGCUCAACCGGGGAGGGUCAUUGGAAACUGGGGAACUUGAGUGCAGAAGAGGAGAGUGGAAUUCCACGUGUAGCGGUGAAAUGCGUAGAGAUGUGGAGGAACACCAGUGGCGAAGGCGACUCUCUGGUCUGUAACUGACGCUGAGGAGCGAAAGCGUGGGGAGCGAACAGG
This 272-nucleotide ribosomal RNA is filed under the name uncultured prokaryote. RNAcentral describes it as "partial 16S ribosomal RNA". It matches the Rfam family "Bacterial small subunit ribosomal RNA", at positions 505 to 776 of the family's 1533-position model. The record is from RNAcentral.